AAAAUGCAGAGGGUAAAGACAUUUCAGUUUAAAUUAGCUUUGGGUUAGCCAUUUAAUAAUAAAUUCAAAGAACUCUUUGCAACCACCUUCCCCUCACGACAGAAACGUCAUCUGCGAGCUAGAAAAUCAAACCAAACACAGGGUAUCUAAGUUCUGCUCAUCUUUCACCGCCCCUGCACAAACCAAAACUCAAAGCUUUACACCCUGCACUUAGGGAAAGAGGAG
This 225-nucleotide unclassified non-coding RNA is filed under the name Hevea brasiliensis (rubber tree). Lineage: Eukaryota; Viridiplantae; Streptophyta; Magnoliopsida; Malpighiales; Euphorbiaceae. The record is from RNAcentral.